Molecule: transfer RNA, 69 nt
Filed under: Sceloporus merriami
Lineage: Eukaryota; Metazoa; Chordata; Lepidosauria; Squamata; Phrynosomatidae
Description: tRNA-Trp
Rfam family: tRNA
About the family: Transfer RNA (tRNA) molecules are approximately 80 nucleotides in length. Their secondary structure includes four short double-helical elements and three loops (D, anti-codon, and T loops).
Source: RNAcentral
AGAGACUUAGGAUAAUAUAAACCAAGGACCUUCAAAGCCCUAAAUAGGGAUUACAACCCCUAGCCUCUG